This 1155-nucleotide long non-coding RNA is filed under the name Homo sapiens (human). RNAcentral describes it as "HSALNT0373299". The record is from RNAcentral. Lineage: Eukaryota; Metazoa; Chordata; Mammalia; Primates; Hominidae.
GUCUGUGGGGAACUGGGGCGCUGGUCGGUGCGCGGGCUGGGACGCUAAGUCAUGAGGAAUUAAACUGGGAAACCUGGCGUGGGUCCAGGCGCCUUCCAGGAGGCAUCCGGCGCGGCCCGGACGUGCUUCUACCCAGAACCACCCCCUCCAGGCCGGGGUGCACUUAACGGGGCUAUACAAAGAGUCUGGUGGGUGACUGUGGGCCUCAUCCCUAUCCCGGGGUCUGAUAGGGAAGACUCUCGGGCCCCGCAGGGAAUAUCUGGCUAGUGCACCCUCGGCGGGAGCGCCACUCUCCCUCCUUGGGCGGCGCCCCCCACCUCUCAUCCCGCCCAAUCCGUUUUGCAAAGUCGGCCAAAACAAAAACAAACUUGGAGCGCUGAUAGACACUGUUAUUGCCCAUCUGAACUCGUCAACUGAGAAGGAAAGAGAUGGUUUAUGCUGUGAAUAAAAUACAGUUGUGCUGUGAUGUAAAUCCCCUCAUCCUGGAGCAGCUGAGCAAGGUCUAAGGCAGGAAGAACCUUCAAGCAGGUCAUGGCUUGCAGGCUCAACUCUGCCUGGCAGUGGCAAGGGCCAGGGCCAGUGACUGAAGCAACAAACUGCCAGAUGACUGCAGCUCAAGCCAAUGCACAAAGCCACUGCAACAAGAGAGGAAAUUCUUCCAUUUCCAAGUGUGUCGAUUUCUCCCCAUCAAGGAAAACAGCUAAGGCAAUGUGUUGAUAUUUUCUUUGACCAAGUCAUCAGGAGUCACAUAGACAUACAGCACUCAAGAAGUGGCUGUAACUAAAGGCACAUCUCGUUCAUCUACAACCCUUGUAAUCCCAACCUUUGUCUGAUGCACAAACCCUUCCCUAGUUCUCCCCACCACCACCACUGCACCUCCAAGUGGGGACAACGAAUUGUUUCAUUUGCAUGUGGUUUUUCUCAUGAAAAAUAUCAUUAACAUGAGACAGCCCCAAACCAAGGAAACCAGAAGUGGGGUUUGUGCUUGGUCUUACUGAGAGCUUUCCCUACUUGACCAGACCCCAGCAUUGUUCUAGAUUUGUCUCUUGUGGGCUACAGGAAUGCAAACAUUUUGUAGUUUCCUCUUUUUUGUUUUCUUAAUGGCUUGAUGAGCCACACAUGUUUCUCUAAAUGCAUGAUUUUAAAUUCACACAA